AGACGUCUACAUUAGAUACCCGGGUAGUCCCAGCCGUAAACUAUGCGCGUUAGGUGUAUCGGUGACCACGAGUCACCGAGGUGCCGAAGGGAAACCGUGAAACGUGCCGCCUGGGAAGUACGGUCGCAAGGCUGAAACUUAAAGGAAUUGGCGGGGAGCACCACAACAGGUGGAGCCUGCGGUUUAAUUGGACUCAACGCCGGAAAUCUCACCGGAUAAGACAGCAGAAUGAUUGCCGGGCUGAAGACUCUGCAUGACUAGCUG
Molecule: ribosomal RNA, 264 nt
Filed under: uncultured archaeon
Lineage: Archaea
Description: partial 16S ribosomal RNA
Rfam family: Archaeal small subunit ribosomal RNA
Source: RNAcentral